Molecule: unclassified non-coding RNA, 21 nt
Filed under: Chlamydomonas reinhardtii
Lineage: Eukaryota; Viridiplantae; Chlorophyta; Chlorophyceae; Chlamydomonadales; Chlamydomonadaceae
Description: small RNA Cre_2697
Source: RNAcentral
UCGGCAUGCGCGGUCAGCCCG